This 400-nucleotide ribosomal RNA is filed under the name phytoplankton environmental sample. RNAcentral's name for it is "partial small subunit ribosomal RNA". It matches the Rfam family "Eukaryotic small subunit ribosomal RNA", at positions 587 to 978 of the family's 1831-position model. The record is from RNAcentral.
AGCUCCAGUAGCGUAUGCUAACGUUGUUGCGGUUAAAAAGCUCGUAGUUGGAUUUCUGGUUCGGCGUUCCUGGUCCACAGAGCCAAGUGCUCUCGUGAGUACCGGUCGGACGCUAGCCAUCCUUCCGGAGAGCGGCGCGGGGUUUAAUCGCCACUGCGCUCGCGAUCUGGAUCAUUUACUUUGAACAAAUUAGAGUGUUUAAAGCAGGCAAUUGCUGUGAAUACCUUAGCAUGGAAUAAUAAGAUAGGACUUUUGGCCUAUUUUGUUGGUCGUUAGGACAGAAGUAAUGAUUGAUAGGGACAGUUGGGGGUGCUAGUAUUGAAUGGCCAGAGGUGAAAUUCUUGGAUUCAUUCAAGACUAACUAAUGCGAAAGCAUUCACCAAGGAUGUCUUCUUUAAUC